GAACACCUUUCUUGUUAAUAAAAUAAAAUUAGCAAUCGGAUGAAAAAUUUAAGUAUUUACAAAGAUUUUGAAAUCAAUUCAAAUGUUAUUUAAAUAAUAAAAUACAAACAAACUAAAUUGUUAACGUAAAAUUAAAAUUUAUAAUAGAAUUUACCAACAAAUAAGCGCAACACGAGACUAAACAUGGUCAGAUUAAUGGCGUACUUAUUUCGAUCUAUUACCGAAAAUUUUACAUCAUCUAGAACCGGAGAAAGACACUUUGAAGUCAUAAGGUUGGCCCACAAAUUGAUAGAACAACGACAAGAGUUGAGAAGGUUUGAUGAACAAAAGUUCAGAAGGCUAACAGCUAUACUUAAUGAUGACUUAUUUAAUUGGAGAAAAGGGUCCUUCAUAUAACAAUUAAAUUAUAUUUGUAAAUUAUAAAUUGUUAAUAAACUUUUGCCAAUCAAUUUCUAUAAGAAGUAUGAAAAGAUAAAAGUCUUUUUGUAAAUCUUAGAGGACUUGAUUGUCAAAAUUGUAAAACAAAAUUUAUGAAUUCGUGCAUGUUUUCUGUAUUGUGGAUAUUUUAAAUGUUUUUUUUUUUAAUGUAAGAAUAAAACCCAUGUUCGCCUAGAAA
Eupeodes corollae is the source of this 616-nucleotide long non-coding RNA. RefSeq lists it as uncharacterized. The record is from RefSeq and is a predicted model, not a curated record. NCBI's taxonomy places the organism in Eukaryota, Metazoa, Arthropoda, Insecta, Diptera, Syrphidae. The transcript is spliced from 2 exons.